This 259-nucleotide non-coding RNA is filed under the name Oscillibacter sp. RNAcentral's name for it is "T-box sequence". It matches the Rfam family "T-box leader". Rfam says of the family: Uncharged tRNA acts as the effector for transcription antitermination of genes in the T-box leader family. T-boxes are found upstream of many aminoacyl-tRNA synthetase genes and some amino acid biosynthetic genes usually in Gram-positive bacteria. Lineage: Bacteria; Bacillati; Bacillota; Clostridia; Eubacteriales; Oscillospiraceae. The record is from RNAcentral.
GAGAAUGCAAUGAAGGGGAGAGUACGUCCUCGCGGCAUGGUUCAGAGAGUCCCGGCAGCUGAAAAGGGACCCAUGCGGUGGGCAGAACAUGGCCCCGGAGCCGCGCGGCUCAGCGCUUCGGCGCAGGCUGCGAUGGGUGCGCCCAUUACAGCGUCAGGGUAUCGCGUGCCGGUUUCGGUAGGCUUGUACCCGCAGAGGCUCACGCCGCGAGGUGUGGGUGAAUCAAGGUGGUAACACGGCUUUCUUCGCCGCCCUUGAG